This 24-nucleotide non-coding RNA is filed under the name Arabidopsis thaliana (thale cress). The record is from RNAcentral. Lineage: Eukaryota; Viridiplantae; Streptophyta; Magnoliopsida; Brassicales; Brassicaceae.
UGCAAUGUGUAGAGGCGAUUGUGU